AUCCUUUUGUAGUUCAUAAGUGUGAUGACUCAGUGUUUAUACUGUUGUGACAUGUACCUCCCUCAAACUCUUACAACCAUGGCACACGACCUGCCUGACA
Molecule: non-coding RNA, 100 nt
Organism: Canis lupus familiaris (dog)
Lineage: Eukaryota; Metazoa; Chordata; Mammalia; Carnivora; Canidae
Source: Rfam